CCCUUAGAUGUUCUGGGCCGCACGCGCGCUACACUGAUGCAUUCAACGAGUCCAACCUUGACCGAGAGGUCCGGGUAAUCUUUGAAACUGCAUCGUGAUGGGGCUAGAUUAUUGCAAUUAUUAAUCUUCAACGAGGAAUGCCUAGUAAGCGUGAUUCAUCAAAUCGCGUUGAUUACGUCCCUGCCCUUUGUACACACCGCCCGUCGCUCCUACCGAUUGAGUGUGUUGGUGAGGAGUUUGGAUUGGCCUCGGAAGGUGGUUCGCCACCGUCCGUAGCUGAGAAGUUCUCCAAACCGCCCCACUUAGAGGAAGGAGAAGUCGAACA
Molecule: ribosomal RNA, 325 nt
Filed under: uncultured eukaryote
Lineage: Eukaryota
Description: partial 18S ribosomal RNA
Rfam family: Eukaryotic small subunit ribosomal RNA
Source: RNAcentral